AAUGAUUACCCUGAACGGUGGAUCACU
Molecule: ribosomal RNA, 27 nt
Filed under: Tamarixia radiata
Lineage: Eukaryota; Metazoa; Arthropoda; Insecta; Hymenoptera; Eulophidae
Description: partial 5.8S ribosomal RNA
Source: RNAcentral